Molecule: ribosomal RNA, 888 nt
Filed under: Lactiplantibacillus plantarum
Lineage: Bacteria; Bacillati; Bacillota; Bacilli; Lactobacillales; Lactobacillaceae
Description: bacterial SSU rRNA
Rfam family: Bacterial small subunit ribosomal RNA
Source: RNAcentral
CUGGCUCAGGACGAACGCUGGCGGCGUGCCUAAUACAUGCAAGUCGAACGAACUCUGGUAUUGAUUGGUGCUUGCAUCAUGAUUUACAUUUGAGUGAGUGGCGAACUGGUGAGUAACACGUGGGAAACCUGCCCAGAAGCGGGGGAUAACACCUGGAAACAGAUGCUAAUACCGCAUAACAACUUGGACCGCAUGGUCCGAGUUUGAAAGAUGGCUUCGGCUAUCACUUUUGGAUGGUCCCGCGGCGUAUUAGCUAGAUGGUGGGGUAACGGCUCACCAUGGCAAUGAUACGUAGCCGACCUGAGAGGGUAAUCGGCCACAUUGGGACUGAGACACGGCCCAAACUCCUACGGGAGGCAGCAGUAGGGAAUCUUCCACAAUGGACGAAAGUCUGAUGGAGCAACGCCGCGUGAGUGAAGAAGGGUUUCGGCUCGUAAAACUCUGUUGUUAAAGAAGAACAUAUCUGAGAGUAACUGUUCAGGUAUUGACGGUAUUUAACCAGAAAGCCACGGCUAACUACGUGCCAGCAGCCGCGGUAAUACGUAGGUGGCAAGCGUUGUCCGGAUUUAUUGGGCGUAAAGCGAGCGCAGGCGGUUUUUUAAGUCUGAUGUGAAAGCCUUCGGCUCAACCGAAGAAGUGCAUCGGAAACUGGGAAACUUGAGUGCAGAAGAGGACAGUGGAACUCCAUGUGUAGCGGUGAAAUGCGUAGAUAUAUGGAAGAACACCAGUGGCGAAGGCGGCUGUCUGGUCUGUAACUGACGCUGAGGCUCGAAAGUAUGGGUAGCAAACAGGAUUAGAUACCCUGGUAGUCCAUACCGUAAACGAUGAAUGCUAAGUGUUGGAGGGUUUCCGCCCUUCAGUGCUGCAGCUAACGCAUUAAGCAUUCCG